Molecule: transfer RNA, 73 nt
Filed under: Pseudomonadota bacterium
Lineage: Bacteria; Pseudomonadati; Pseudomonadota
Also listed under: 1 other name
Description: tRNA-Gly
Rfam family: tRNA
About the family: Transfer RNA (tRNA) molecules are approximately 80 nucleotides in length.
Source: RNAcentral
GCGGGCAUAGCUCAAUUGGCAGAGCGCCAGCCUUCCAAGCUGGCCGUUGCGGGUUCGAGCCCCGCUGCCCGCU